UGAACUAAUUGAUCUAAAAGAGAGUGAC
Molecule: non-coding RNA, 28 nt
Filed under: Bombyx mori (domestic silkworm)
Lineage: Eukaryota; Metazoa; Arthropoda; Insecta; Lepidoptera; Bombycidae
Source: RNAcentral